This 472-nucleotide long non-coding RNA is filed under the name Vigna radiata. RNAcentral's name for it is "long non-coding RNA (VRAD_LNC017852)". Lineage: Eukaryota; Viridiplantae; Streptophyta; Magnoliopsida; Fabales; Fabaceae. The record is from RNAcentral.
GGCACACAUUUGCUUAUUUUCAUUUUCAUUUUUCCUUAAUUACUUAACAGCUCAGCGUGAUAUGCAAUAUUUCAGAUGGAAUGCAAAUAAUCAAAAUAUGAAUGAAAUCAUGUGAACUUUAUUUAGUGAAGAACACAGAGUGCAAUAAGCUUUAAAGAUAAUAUCAACAUUCCCUUAAUAGCAACCACUAUCACGGAAUCAUCAUGCGUAAAACUUUUUUACCGCAUCANAAUUAACUGGNAAUGGUAACUCCUCCCCAUCCAUUCUUGUGAGAAUUAGUGCCCUACCAGAAAAUGCUUUCUUCACCACAAAUGGCCCUUCAUAAUUUGGGGUCCAUUUGCCCCUGUGAUCCUUUUGUAUAGGUAAAAUCUUCUUCAACACCAGCUCACCUUCAUGAAAUUCUCUUGGACGUACCNUUUUAUCAAAUGCCUUCUUCAUUCUUCUUUGGUACAAUUGUCCAUGGCAUACUGCU